CUUGGGCUGGUAGCGGUGGAAAGGGCCCCGAAACGCCAGGCGUCUAGGAUAACAUGGCUGCGGGCAGGGGACGCCCAAAUAGCCUUCUUUCAGGCCAAGAUCAAUGCCAGGCGCAGGAAAAAUUUCAUUCACUCGCUGCACGGACCGACUAGGGUGGCCACCUCCCACGAUGAAAAAGAGGAAAUCAUUCAUUGUCACUUCGCUAGAUCAUUAGGGACUAGACAGGACCGAGAUAGCACUAUUGACUGGAGCUACAUCGACAUGCCAAGGGUCCAAGGUGGUGGCCUAGACAAUCCAUUCACUGAGCAGGAAGUGUGGCAGGCGAUCAAGCAAUCGCCGGCAGAGAAAUCUCCUGGCCCGGAUGGCUUCUCCGGGGUUUUCUUCAGAAGCUGCUGGCCAACCAUAAAAGGGGACGUGAUGGACGUUUUUCAUCAGUUCUACCACUUAGCCAGGGAAAAUUUCCAAAUGCUCAACACAGCUGUUGUAGUUCUUCUUCCCAAGAAAGAUGGUGCUGCUACAAUCAAUGAUUACAGACCGAUUAGCCUAAUUCACUCUGUUGCAAAAUUGAUCUCCAAAGUGCUCUCGCUCCGCCUUGCAACGGUGAUUCAAAGCUUGAUUUCCCCGGCGCAUAUGGCAUUCCUCAGAACCAAAUGCAUACAUGAUAGCUACCUCUACAUGCAAAAUUGUGUGAGGUCCCUCCACGCUAAGAAGACUCCGGCCCUGCUACUCAAAUUAGAUAUCUCCAAGGCUUUUGAUAAUGUCUCGUGGGAUUAUCUGCUCGAGCUGCUCCAACAGUUGGGUUUUAGCGCGAGGUGGCGCGACUGGAUUUCCCUCCUUCUCUCCACCUCUUCAUCGGCCUUCCUACUCAAUGGCGUCGCCGGGUAG
RNAcentral lists this ribosomal RNA (885 nucleotides) under Triticum aestivum (bread wheat). RNAcentral's name for it is "partial small subunit ribosomal RNA". Lineage: Eukaryota; Viridiplantae; Streptophyta; Magnoliopsida; Poales; Poaceae. The record is from RNAcentral.